RNAcentral lists this long non-coding RNA (1424 nucleotides) under Numida meleagris (helmeted guineafowl). RNAcentral describes it as "lncRNA (ENSNMEG00000008833.1)". Lineage: Eukaryota; Metazoa; Chordata; Aves; Galliformes; Numididae. The record is from RNAcentral.
GUUUUUCAUUUCCAUUGUUCACACCUGAAUUCCCUAUGAGAUGCUGGCAAAAGAGCUUCUCCCAUCAACAACGCAAGCAUGAAAGGGGUAGCUUUCCUGGACUUCAUUCUUCUGUCUUUGCCACUGUGUUUGCUCCACUUAGUGUCUGCCUUUGUGCCGACGGACUCUCAUUAUUUCUCUCAGCACUCCCAUUUCUUUGGAGAAAUCAUACCUGCAGGGGCAAUCUCAUUUGACUGCUUCCAGAAUGUCUGUUUUUCAAUCCUGACUUUGUACCUCUUUGGAGAAUUGAAAGGAGGAGGAGUGCUUUUAGCUUUAGACAUUUCCAGUAAUGUGGAUUUUCCCUUUAAAGGUCAGUAACUUGCAGUAUUAGGACAUAUGCAAAAUGUCUCUUAGGUGGCAUAAAUGAGACAGAGGGGUUAAAUGAUGCCCCCAGGUGCACGGUAGAAGCUGGUGUCAGGUUGCAGCCCAGAGCUGAACAGAAUUUGGAUUUUGGAACCUUUUUCAGGGUAUGGAUGAUGAUACUGUCAACUCCUCUGCAUUCAGUUUUAAACAUAACACCCUGGUUCCCUCAUGUCCGGCAGAAAAGUCCAAACCAGUGUAAGCACUUAGAUGGUAAUGGCAAGGAGAAGGAGUAGUGGCAGCAAAAUGGAAGGUUCUGAUGAUUCAGUGCAUUUUGUACUUUUUUGGUCGCUGCAAACUUUGACAACUCUAACUGUGUGCUACAAGACUAUCUAUACAGCUUUCACGUGCAUUUCUAUAACUUUUUUACCCAUUAUUAUAUUUUAAAAAAGAAUUUACCUGGAUAAGUUUGCAUGCAGAAUGCUCAUAUUGAGAGAAUGAGAAGGAAAGAAAGUCUUGAUUGGACAUAGGAGUCUUAGCUGGGCUAGGAGCUCUGUACAAGCUCCACAGAUUUAAUCCAGAGAGGACUCGAGGAUGCAGUCAUGCUGCUGUCAUACAUUGGGUGGGAAUGGACUGCACUGCAAGUGUUGCCUGGGGCGGCUCUUUGUGUGGACAAGAAGACUGAUGCAGGUUUCCUGAGGCUAUCCCUUGGAAACCCAUUAAAUCUGAAGAAGAAACCAAAGCGUAGUCUCCCAGGGCUGACUUCAAGGGUGCAGCGAAAGUCCAGAUCUCUAAUGCAUCCCUUUCCCCUCAUUCCUGACAUGCAUCUUGCGUGGACUCAGUGUAUAAACCAUCCCCAAGCGUUCCUUCUGCCAGGGUCUCUUAUAUUCAUACCUCUGGCUCUCCUCAGGCAGCAGCAUGAAGCCGGCAUGAAUCUUAUAUUGUUUGCUACUCGUCGCCUCUUCAAACACUCCAGAGGAGUGUUCCUUAUUCCACAGAAAUCACAGGCAGCCGUUCUUCUUAGAGGUGCUUUGUGCUGCUUCCUGCUCAGCCUGGGAAGGUGGAGUUACGCUGACCUACUCUAA